GAAAUGCGAUAAGUAAUGUGAAUUGCAGAAUUCAGUGAACCAUCGAAUCUUUGAACGCACAUUGCGCCCGCCAGCACUCUGGCGGGCAUGCCUGCCCGAGCGUCAUUUCAGAAACCCUCGAGCCGCCCGGCGGCUCGGCCCUGGGGGACGGCGCGCGCGCCGCCCCCGAAAUGCAGUGGCGACCGCGCCGCGGCCUCCCCUGCGCAGUACAAGAACCUCGCACCGGAGCGCGGACGCGGUCACGCCGUGAAGCCCCGAACGCCCAUCGAGAGUUGACCUCGGAUCAGGUAGGGAUACCCGCUGAACUUAA
RNAcentral lists this unclassified non-coding RNA (310 nucleotides) under uncultured Hypocreales. RNAcentral describes it as "sequence contains ITS1". The stretch from base 1 to 105 matches the Rfam family "5.8S ribosomal RNA", at positions 50 to 154 of the family's 154-position model. The record is from RNAcentral. Lineage: Eukaryota; Fungi; Ascomycota; Sordariomycetes; Hypocreales.